Molecule: ribosomal RNA, 1431 nt
Filed under: uncultured organism
Description: SSU rRNA
Rfam family: Bacterial small subunit ribosomal RNA
Source: RNAcentral
UACAGGCUUAACACAUGCAAGUCGAGGGGCAGCAUUUUAGUUUGCUUGCAAACUAAAGAUGGCGACCGGCGCACGGGUGAGUAACACGUAUCCAACCUGCCGAUAACUCGGGGAUAGCCUUUCGAAAGAAAGAUUAAUAUCCGAUAGUAUAUUAAAACCGCAUGGUUUUACUAUUAAAGAAUUUCGGUUAUCGAUGGGGAUGCGUUCCAUUAGUUUGUUGGCGGGGUAACGGCCCACCAAGACUACGAUGGAUAGGGGUUCUGAGAGGAAGGUCCCCCACAUUGGAACUGAGACACGGUCCAAACUCCUACGGGAGGCAGCAGUGAGGAAUAUUGGUCAAUGGACGAGAGUCUGAACCAGCCAAGUAGCGUGAAGGAUGACUGCCCUAUGGGUUGUAAACUUCUUUUAUAUGGGAAUAAAGUAUUCCACGUGUGGGAUUUUGUAUGUACCAUAUGAAUAAGGAUCGGCUAACUCCGUGCCAGCAGCCGCGGUAAUACGGAGGAUCCGAGCGUUAUCCGGAUUUAUUGGGUUUAAAGGGAGCGUAGGUGGAUUGUUAAGUCAGUUGUGAAAGUUUGCGGCUCAACCGUAAAAUUGCAGUUGAAACUGGCAGUCUUGAGUACAGUAGAGGUGGGCGGAAUUCGUGGUGUAGCGGUGAAAUGCUUAGAUAUCACGAAGAACUCCGAUUGCGAAGGCAGCUCACUAGACUGCAACUGACACUGAUGCUCGAAAGUGUGGGUAUCAAACAGGAUUAGAUACCCUGGUAGUCCACACAGUAAACGAUGAAUACUCGCUGUUUGCGAUAUACAGUAAGCGGCCAAGCGAAAGCAUUAAGUAUUCCACCUGGGGAGUACGCCGGCAACGGUGAAACUCAAAGGAAUUGACGGGGGCCCGCACAAGCGGAGGAACAUGUGGUUUAAUUCGAUGAUACGCGAGGAACCUUACCCGGGCUUAAAUUGCAUUUGAAUAAUCUGGAAACAGGUUAGCCGCAAGGCAAAUGUGAAGGUGCUGCAUGGUUGUCGUCAGCUCGUGCCGUGAGGUGUCGGCUUAAGUGCCAUAACGAGCGCAACCCUUAUCUUUAGUUACUAACAGGUCAUGCUGAAGACUCUAGAGAGACUGCCGUCGUAAGAUGUGAGGAAGGUGGGGAUGACGUCAAAUCAGCACGGCCCUUACGUCCGGGGCUACACACGUGUUACAAUGGGGGGUACAGAAGGCAGCUACCUGGCGACAGGAUGCUAAUCCCAAAAACCUCUCUCAGUUCGGAUCGAAGUCUGCAACCCGACUUCGUGAAGCUGGAUUCGCUAGUAAUCGCGCAUCAGCCAUGGCGCGGUGAAUACGUUCCCGGGCCUUGUACACACCGCCCGUCAAGCCAUGAAAGCCGGGGGUACCUGAAGUACGUAAAGGUAAGGAGCGUCCUAGGGUAAAACUGGUAAU